Molecule: long non-coding RNA, 214 nt
Filed under: Capsicum annuum
Lineage: Eukaryota; Viridiplantae; Streptophyta; Magnoliopsida; Solanales; Solanaceae
Description: long non-coding RNA (CANN_LNC004689)
Source: RNAcentral
UAACACAAUAGCUCUGUCCCCCUCGUCAUUCAAGAGCCUAUGAAAGUACGACUGCCAUCUCUUCUUUAUGUGGCCGUCCUCCACCAACACUCUACCGUCCUCCCCCUUAAUGCACCUCACCUGAUCGAGGUCACGACCCUUCCUCUCCCUAGCCUUAGCGAGUUGGAACAACUUUUUCUCCCCUCCUUUCCCCUGUAACCCUGCAUACAAGCUC